AUUGAACGCUGGCGGCAGGCCUAACACAUGCAAGUCGAGCGGAUGAAGGGAGCUUGCUCCUGGAUUCAGCGGCGGACGGGUGAGUAAUGCCUAGGAAUCUGCCUGGUAGUGGGGGAUAACGUCCGGAAACGGGCGCUAAUACCGCAUACGUCCUGAGGGAGAAAGUGGGGGAUCUUCGGACCUCACGCUAUCAGAUGAGCCUAGGUCGGAUUAGCUAGUUGGUGGGGUAAAGGCCUACCAAGGCGACGAUCCGUAACUGGUCUGAGAGGAUGAUCAGUCACACUGGAACUGAGACACGGUCCAGGCUCCUACGGGAGGCAGCAGUGGGGAAUAUUGGACAAUGGGCGAAAGCCUGAUCCAGCCAUGCCGCGUGUGCGAAGAAGGUCUUCGGAUUGUAAAGCACUUUAAGUUGGGAGGAAGGGCAGUAAGUUAAUACCUUGCUGUUUUGACGUUACCAACAGAAUAAGCACCGGCUAACUUCGUG
Molecule: ribosomal RNA, 484 nt
Filed under: uncultured bacterium
Lineage: Bacteria
Description: partial 16S ribosomal RNA
Rfam family: Bacterial small subunit ribosomal RNA
Source: RNAcentral